GAGACCGCAGCUGCGAGCCAGUGCCCGGUGGCACUCCUGCCAGCUUUGGCACCCAAAUGCAACUGGAGAAGCUGGGGCAGGAAUCAUUCAUAUGGGACAAAACAAUAAGCCUCCCUGCUUGCCUUUUAAUUUCUUGCGGUGCCAGCUGUUCUAGAGCAUCAUCUCCCUUCCCUUGGUGGACCCUUCCUGCCCCAAACGCGGCUGAUGCACCGGGAGCGGAAUAGAAAGGCCCGGUGCCCGCCCGCGGCUCGCAGCGAUCCCGAGGGGCAGGAGGAGAGGAGGGCCGGAGCGGGGCCGGGCGGAGCGGGAGGAGGCGCCGGGCAGCGGGGCGCUGAGGCUGGCAGGAGGCGGCCAUGCCGUUCGUGGAGCUGGAGACCAGCCUGCCGGCAGAGCGGCUGCCGCCGGGGCUGCCGCUGAAGCUGUGCGAAGCCACCGCCGCCAUCCUGGGCAAACCCGCCGAGCGGGUGAACGUGACGGUGCGCAGCGGGAUGCCCAUGGUGCUGGCGGGCUCGGCCGAGCCCUGCGCACAGCUGCUCGUCUCCUCCAUCGGCGUGGUGGGCUCGGCGGAGCAGAACCAGGGGCACAGUGCCCGCUUCUUCGACUUCCUGACGGCGGAGCUGGGCCUCGGCCCCGAGAGGUCUGGCUAAAAACAUGGCUGGGCCACUCACCGAGCAGCGUGGGGACCGCUGCUCUCUGAACGUGAGUGACUCCAGUUGGGAUGACCGGUGCAAACCCAGAGCAAAUGGGCCUUCCUGAAGGAUUGUCAUUCGCUUUUACCCGCUGGAGCCCUGGCAGAUUGGCAAGAACAGAACAGUCAUGACUUUCCUGUGAUCCCUCGAGCGGCCGUUUGGAACAAAGCAGUGAUGAAGACAACCCAGAGAUGACCUGCUCCGUCUACCUUGAUUCCUCUUAGAUCAGCUCUGAUAGUUCUGCACCUUCACCUGUCUGAUUCUCUUCUGCUUUUGGACCCUGUGCAUAUAAAGAGUGGGGCAGUCAGCUGUACUGUUAUAAUUAAAGUAAUUCAGUCUUUGUCUCAAGCUUUCCUUGUAGCAUAAAGGCUCUGCAGCUUCCUAAGCCAUUGGCAAUCUGGAGAUGGCCAUACUUAACGGGCUGAGACACAGCUCUCGCAGAAGUCCAGAACAUAUUUGACUUUACUGAGAACUGCAGAGGUUCUCCAUUUUAUCCAGAUUACCUCAUACUUUGCAAUGCAGAAAGAUCCUCCUUUCUGUUUCUCUGUGGCAAGAGGUGGCUCCCAGGCUGGCUGAGGAGAACUGGAAGUAUUCCUUCAAAUUAUUCUGUUUUCAGGCUCCCAGAAAGCCCUUCCUGGAAAGAGAGGUGAUUGCUGGGAGACAAGCUUAUGCAUUUAUUUCAUUGUUUAUUUAAGGCACAUGUCUGAUUUUAUGCUCUGUGGUCUAGCGUUGCCAGCCGCAGGUGGCUGCUCCCACAAAGUUUUGUUUGCCCACAAAAUCUUUGUGGCUGGAUGUUGGCGUGUCAGUGGCUGUGUUGAAGAGGGAGGUGCUUGUGAAGAGCUGCACUAUGCCACAGGAGAAUGUUGUGAAGGUUCUGCCUCUGCUACCUUUAAUCCCUGUUGCUUACCCUCAUGUUGAAAAUAGUUUUCAUUUCCUCGCUGUUACAGGGAGUUUAUGGAAGAGACAGUCAUCUCAUUGUGUCCUGUGGCUGUUUUCAGCUCACUGCCCUCUGCAGAGGGGCUGCUGUAGUCAUCCACAAGCGACUUAGCACACAGGCAGCAUUAUGCAUAUUGCACUCAGAACCUUACAACUUCUGUUGCUGUUGCACUUCACUCUGAAGUGUUUUGGAUUUUAGGACCUAUAUGCUCCAUCACUUUAUAACUGGAAUGUACGUGGUACUUUAUUAAAAGCACAGUAACGUUAUCUCAGCCUUCCACUGAAAAUGAAAACAUGCAUUGGCUUCCCCUCCACUUUGUGGCUUUGUCAGGUGCCAGGCACAGAAGCACAGAGGAGCUAAUCACAUGCCCUUGAAAUGUAGAGGUCCAUGAAACACAAGUCUGAAGAGUCUCCAUUCCUUUGUAAUCCUGAUUAGAUUCUUGUUUGUUUAUGUCUUGAGCUCUCAAGCUAGUUGAAAAUAUCCCUUCUAAUUAUCACUUGAAGUUGGUUAUUCCUUAUGCAGCAUAAAUACCUUCUGUUUGCAAAAUCCCCCUUCAGGGGGAGCCACACUAUCUGAUUAAUAAAAUGUAUCAAAACCUCUUU
This is an RNA transcript of Numida meleagris (helmeted guineafowl), 2228 nucleotides long. It is a transcript of the gene named D-dopachrome tautomerase, with no coding region annotated. The transcript has 4 exons. NCBI's taxonomy places the organism in Eukaryota, Metazoa, Chordata, Aves, Galliformes, Numididae. The record is from RefSeq and is a predicted model, not a curated record.